UACGAAGGUGGCAAGCGUUACUCGGAAUUACUAGGCGUAAAGGGCAGGUAGGUGGUUCGGUAAGUCUGUUGUGUAAGCUCCCGGCUUAACUGGGAGAGGUCAACGGAAACUACCGGACUUGAGUAUAGGAGAGGUUACUGGAAUUCCCGGUGUAGAGGUGAAAUUCGUAGAUAUCGGGAGGAACACCGGUGGCGAAGGCGGCGACCUGGGUAGAUACUGACGCUGAGGUGCGAAAGCGUGGGGAGCAAACAGG
This 253-nucleotide ribosomal RNA is filed under the name uncultured bacterium. RNAcentral describes it as "partial 16S ribosomal RNA". It matches the Rfam family "Bacterial small subunit ribosomal RNA", at positions 524 to 776 of the family's 1533-position model. The record is from RNAcentral.